GAUGAAGAACGUAGCGAAAUGCGAUAAGUAGUGUGAAUUGCAGAAUUCAGUGAAUCAUCGAAUCUUUGAACGCACAUUGCGCCCUUUGGUAUUCCUUAGGGCAUGCCUGUUCGAGCGUCAUUUAAACCUUCAAGCUCAGCUUGGUGUUGGGUGACUGUCCGCUUCACCGCGGACUCGCCUCAAAAUUAUUGGCGGCCGGUACAUUGGCUUCGAGCGCAGCAGAAACGCGAACUCGGGCCCGUCGUAUUGGCUCCCAGAAGCUAUCUUCACAAUUUUGACCUCGGAUCAGGUAGGGAUACCCGCUGAACUUAAGCAUAUCAAUAAGCGGAGG
Molecule: unclassified non-coding RNA, 331 nt
Filed under: soil metagenome
Description: partial contains 5.8S ribosomal RNA, internal transcribed spacer 2, and large subunit ribosomal RNA
Rfam family: 5.8S ribosomal RNA (bases 1-120)
Source: RNAcentral